UCAGUUCAAGAUUCUGGAAAUAACUCUCCUCUUAGCCCCUGGUAUUUUUGUCUAGGCAGGCACCAUCCAGAGAGCUGGACAACCUUGAACUUCUAGCGUGGUGCUGGAGGAGGCUUCCUUUAUGAAUUCCUGCUGUGCAGAAAGGGCUGCGGAGUGACUCAGCAGAGGAGGAUUACAGCAGAAAUGCCCCAGGCUGUCGCAAGCCUUCCCAGUCGCUCCAGCUGCAACAUCUGCGGCAGUAAGAAUCUUUGCGAGGAGUUCAGAAAAUUCUGAAAGGCCUCUCACGGGGAUUUCUGAUUAGAUGUAUCUGGGCAAAAGAGCGUGGGGAAGGCAGAGACAUCUAAGCAACACUGAAGGAUCUGGAAGUUACUUGUUAGUCACUAGACUGGGGGGAUGUGGAGUGUCUCUUCUCUGAAGGGAGAUAACUUUUGGCAUGGAACCCCCCCCCCCCCAUGCUAAUUGGCAACUCUUUGCAAGUUGGAUGCUUUACAAUUAAUUGGAGUCACUGAAGAACAAUGUGCCUUUGGUCAACCUGUUACUAUGUCAAAGGUAAGAUUGGAACCCAGGCCUUAAUGAUUCUAAGAUUAGCUUUCUUUUUUUUUUAAUUUUAUAGUAUUUUAUUUGAUCAUUUCCAUACAUUAUUCAUUAAAGACAAAGAUCAUUUUCUUUUCCUCCCUCCCACCCCCCGUAGCCGACGCGUGAUUCCACUGGGUAUCACAUGUGCUCUUGAUUCGAACCCAUUGCCAUGUUGUUAAUAUUUGCAUUAGAGUGUUCG
Molecule: long non-coding RNA, 775 nt
Filed under: Monodelphis domestica (gray short-tailed opossum)
Lineage: Eukaryota; Metazoa; Chordata; Mammalia; Didelphimorphia; Didelphidae
Description: lncRNA (ENSMODG00000042432.1)
Source: RNAcentral